AAGAUGGACUGAAGUGCAAGAGAAUGCUGCACAGUAGGAGUGAGGGCUCACAGUGCUCUUCAGAGGUUCUCAGGAUUCUAUGUUGUUGGCCUCAAGCUGGGGUUCGUUUGAGCUCAAGGCAGCAUCCGUGAAAACAAAAAGGUUGGCAGGAGGCAAUCAUGGAUGUCCUGCGGCUCAUCUCUCGGCUGGCUGGCUAGAGACUGGAGCGCUUCACUCGUAAUGAAGGCUGUAUUCAGACUGUGGAGAUCAGGAGUGCCUGGCCUGACCACUGUUCAUACAAAUUCUCCCUGAUGGAGCCUGCCUGACAGUGACCUCACAUCAUGCUAGCGGGCAGCUCAUCAUCUCUGCAUGGAGAACGAU
Fukomys damarensis (Damara mole-rat) is the source of this 360-nucleotide long non-coding RNA. RefSeq lists it as uncharacterized. The transcript has 3 exons. Lineage: Eukaryota; Metazoa; Chordata; Mammalia; Rodentia; Bathyergidae. The record is from RefSeq and is a predicted model, not a curated record.